This 269-nucleotide ribosomal RNA is filed under the name uncultured bacterium. Its description in RNAcentral is "partial 16S ribosomal RNA". It matches the Rfam family "Bacterial small subunit ribosomal RNA", at positions 338 to 621 of the family's 1533-position model. The record is from RNAcentral.
CCUACGGGGCGCAGCAGUGGGGAAUAUUGGGCAAUGGGCGCAAGCCUGACCCAGCAACGCCGCGUGAAGGAAGAAGGCUUUCGGGUUGUAAACUUCUUUUCUCAGGGACGAAGCAAGUGACGGUACCUGAGGAAUAAGCCACGGCUAACUACGUGCCAGCAGCCGCGGUAAUACGUAGGUGGCAAGCGUUAUCCGGAUUUACUGGGUGUAAAGGGUGCGUAGGCGGGGAAGCAAGUCAGAAGUGAAAUCCAUUGGCUUAACCCAUGAAC